GAUGUAUCACCAAUCCUAGGACAUAGGCACCCUCAUGUUACAUACAGGGAAACUGAGGCACAGAGGGAUCAAAUGGAUUGCCUACAGCCAUGCAGUUAAGAAGUGGCACAGCCAGGAUGUGGACACAGGUGGUCUGGGGGGUUGAAUUGCCCCCUACCUUGUUCUUCCACAUAAGGAUUGAUGUCUGGGUCCAGAAGGGGAAGGUCAUAGAGUUUCUCUAGGUUCCUCCUGGAAGUUGCUAUCCAUUCUCAAGGCCUGAGAUGGGGCCCCUCCUCUGUAUCUCCUCUCUGUGCCCAGUGCAUUGAGUGCCUCACACAAAUUGGAAUCUGAAUACAUCCUAGUUGUUUCCUUUUCUUUCGUUGAAGAAAGCGAUUCUUUAAUUCUCCACGUGGUGCAGUUUUUGGAGGGAGUUAUCCUUCCUCACUAGAAAAUUCACCAAGGAAGGGAAACCUGGCCAAGUUUUUAAUCAGAAAGAACCACAUACAGCAUGUCUAAAUUAUCUCCAGUUCUCGGUGAAUGGGUCCAAAGCAACGUGGUUGGCUGUUCUCCAGCCCAAUCUUAGGAGCACCCAGUAACAGAGUGUCUGGUCAAUGGGUGUCUGGGAUUUCCAGCAACUUCCCAGAUUUUUAGGUGGAGAAACUGAGGGCCUAGGCCUGGGGUCUAGAACAUUCUUAAGCCUAUACGUGCACUGUUCAGGGAGAUAAAAAUCAGUGGGUUCCUCUCCUGUCACCAUGGCCUGUGCCAUCUCGGGCUUGGCUGGACGGAUCUGCACAGCAGUCUGCUCUGAGCCGUCCACCUGGUGCCCUGACCAAGAAGGGGCAGGAAACCUGAUCAGUCUUAGCUAGCCAUGCACGUUUGUGUGGCCCUGGGCAGCUCCCAGCUCCUCUCUGGGCCUGUCAUUUGCUCCCUGAAUUCCCUUCUAGGAAUUUAGAGAGGGGUUAAAGUGGAAUGUCAGGUUCUCGGGAAGCCUGUAUUUGUUUCUAGCCUUGCCAAAUCUCUUUCUCAAUCUGAGCCUCAGUUUCUUCAUCUGUGUAGUGGGACUCAUAAGAGAUACUGUGAGGAAUCAACGGGAUGAUGUGUGUAAAGACUUCUAAGCAUGGGGCUCAGCUCCACUGAAUGUUGAGGAAGGUGCUUCAUCUUGUUCUAUGGUUUGAACCGGAAGUCACACUCCAGUGGUCUGCGGUGGUCUGUUUUGCUUGAUCCACCCAGUCUUUUUAAAAUCUAUAGAAUUUGUUGACAACAUUUCAAGAUUGGGAAAUUUCACAGAUUAAGAUCCCCAGGUUUUCUUAAAAAAUGGGGAGAUUUGGCAACAGGGUACCCGCGUUCUCUGGGGGGGAAGGGUUACCUCUACACAUCUUGAACGGCUCACGCAUGUCCCUACAAUCCCCUAACACAGAGCCAGGGGUUUCUGAGCAUCCUACUAUGGGUCAGGAGCUGUGCCUACAUAGUGCAUUGAAUCCUUACCAUAAGUUAUAAACACGCUUAUUUGGCCAACAAUGAAGUAGAGGCUCAGAGAGUUGGGAUGAGUUGCCAAGGUCACGGUGUUAGCAGAUGGUACAGCCAGGACUCCCAAAUAGGACCUCCGUCACUUUUCUCUAUUUGGGCUCUCUUUCCACUUCAGCCUAGCUUUGGGUCCAUGGAGAAACCCUACUUAUGACCGGUUGAUGGACUGAUGGAAGAUUAAGCAUGUGAUGUCAAUGUCUAUGGUUCCCAUCCUGAACCUUCAGAUCCUCGAGGCUGUGGAGUUAGGGUAGGGGUCCAGGAAUCAACGUGCACACCUAGAGUUCAUGGAAUAAAACUCUCCUGCCUACAUAAGAUGACUGCAGCUUAACAUUUUGAAAUAAACAUUAUGAAAAUGUUCAGGGGUGCCUGGGUGGCUCAGUUGGUUAAGCAUUCGACUCUUGGUUUCAGCUCAGGUCAUGAUCUCAGGGUUGUGGGAUCAAGCCCUAGAUCAGGCUCCAUGCACAGCAGGGAGUCUGCUUGGGAUUCUCGCUCUCCUUUCUGACUCUCCCCUGCUCUCUCUCUUUCUCUCAAGUAAAUAAAUAAAUCCUAAAAAAAAGAAAAUGUUCAAAUACUUACUAUAGAAGACAGUAAUAGUAUAGUAAACCCCCAUGCUGAAUCAUCCAGAUUCAGCAAUGACCAAAAUUUGGUCUCAUUUGCUUCAUCUACUCUUUUUUUGUUUCUCUUUUCCUUUUUUUUUUUUUUUAAGAUUUUAUUUAUUUAUUUGACAGAGAGCGAGAGAGCACAAGCAGGGGGAGCAGUAGAGGGAGAGGGAGAAGCAGGCUUCCCGCGGAGCAGGGAGCCCGAUGCGGGGCUCAUCCCAGGACCCUGGGAUCGUGACCUGAGCCGAAGGCAGAUGCUUAACCAUCUGAGCCACCCAGGCACCCCUGUUUCUCUUUUCCUUUUCUUUCUUUAAUCUUUGUUUUUUUGAAGAUUUAAUUAAUUAGAGAGAGCACAUGAGCACGAGUGGUGGGGAUGGGCAGCGGGAGAGGGAGAAACAGACUCCCUCCUGAGCAGGGAGCUCAACAGGGGGCUCAAUCCCAGGACCCUGGGAUCAUGACCUGAGCUGAAGGCAGAUGCUUAACGGGCUGAGCCACCCAGGCGCCCCUGUUUCUCUUUUUAUUUACUGAAUUAUUUCAAAACACAUUCCAGAUAUCUUGUUGUGUCAUCUGAAUAUGUCAGACUAGGUCUCUAAGACCAGUGGGGUGCUGGAGCCAGCUGGUUCCGGCUGCUCAGAGCUGACCGUGCGCACCUCUUCUCAAUUCCGAGUUCAGCCACGUGGUGUCGGUAGUGCAAAUCUGCCGCGUGGGAGUAUUUACACCACGGAAAUCAGCAAACACUGCACAACAGGGUUCCCCUACAACUCUCCACCCCAUCAGGGGUUAAACAUUUAUUAGUACGCCACUGUCCGAAACACAUGGACAUUUUCUUAUACAACCACCGUGCGAUGAUGUCACCUACUGAAAUUACUGUUUACAUUCUAAGCAAAUGUCCACGACGGUUUCAAAGACGCCUGUUUCUGGAUGGUUUGUCUGAUCAGCAUUCAGACAAGCUCCACCUCUGACGUUUGGGUGUUACGUCUCUUGAUUUGUUUAAACCUAGAGCAGGCCCCUCUGUCCCCCAUCUGUGGCAUUUGUAUGCCCUUGAUUGUUGCGGACGGCAGGUUGGCCGAUCCGUUCUGCUGGCUGCAUGUUCGGUAAGCUACUGUGCCCCUCUUUCCCCUUAUCUCCUGUCUUUAAAGUCUGAAUAGAUUCAGCCUAACUUGGUUGGCUGGUUGGUUUUUUUUGGAGGGGGGCCAGAAGGCUUCAUCGAGGGAGCUGGAUUCAACGUUCACCUUUUCAAUGCUUGCGGAUGAUUUGUGACAGAUGAAACGCAGAGCCACGGAAAAGCAUUUUUGAAUUUGUGAUGGCCUUUUGUUACCUCGCCAACCACAUAUACUACAAGGAAAGCCACGGUGGAAUCUUUUGCUAGAAGGAAGGGCCAUCAAAGUCAAGGAAGCCGGCCCCUCUGAUUGGGCCUCACCAGCCUGCGCAGGUCUUUCUACAUUCCGGUCUCAGGGAUGAAGAACUGCCUUCGGGAGUUCAUUCCACGAUGCUGUCACUUGGACAGCCAGAUACUCCUACCUCAUGUCUAAAUGCAGUCUUUCUUGCUUUCAGUGAAGCCCAUUUUCUCUGCCUGGAACCUUGGCAUAUCUUAACCUCCCCUCUCUCGAGUCUCUUCUGGCAUGGGGAGAAAAACAAACUGAAAUGUUCUGUGGUUCUAGGUUCUGGAUCCUGUCCUGGACGUGGUAAUCAUUUCCCCUUGGAGUGGUUUGAACCUUGCUCUGUCCCCAGCCCCAGGAGGCGCUGUGCAUACCUUUUCCACACCCCUGAAGGAUGGGGGUCCUCACGGGCCAGGGCACAGGGCAUCUGUCCUGAGAUCCCCCUGUGCAUCCUCGCUCGCAGGUCUGGGGUCUUGUCUACUGACCAGCCUCAAGUUGUGGCUUUGGUUCCUAACAGGGCCCCUGUUCUUGCCUGUCCUUUCCGUCCUUCCUGUCGGGAUCGAAUCCUGGAAGCUGGUUCCUCUUCACCUUCGUCCUCGUGUCCGCUCCUGACGCCACUCACUGACUCAGCUGGGAGCUUGCUCCUUCCUUCCAGAAACAGGGAACUGUGGUGAAAAAUGCGUGUCGUGGCCGAGCACUCUGCUUGAAUCUCCGAGAUGGCCUGAGCUAGAAGGGACACCAUUUCCUCUGGGAAGCAGAGCCAUGUCUGGGGAACAUGGAAGCUUCCUUAGUGUUAUGCCUCAUGCCAGGAGUUUGAGUCUGAGCCUGUGUUCAAGCCGCCGUCAGAACUCAACCUAGGAAAUGAGCUCCUCAGGGUGGGAAGGCCCUGUCAGACCGUCCCUUGCACGUGCAGUGGGCGUGGGUGGUGUGAACUCGACUUUUCCUCAAAGCUCCUCCCAUGCUGUCAUUCAUCAGGAUCAAGCAAUUUACUGCCUCACACCCAUUAGGACGGCUGUUAUCAAAACCCAGAAAUAACAGGCGCUGGCAAGGAUGUGGAGGAAUUGGGACCCGUGCGCAGGGCUGGCUGGGAGUGUGAAGAGGCGCCGCCAGCAUGAAAGAUAUGGCAACUCCUCAAGAAGUUAAACAUAGACUUGCGAUACGAUCCAGCAAAUCCCACUUCAGAGUGCAAACCCCAAAGAAUUGAAAGCAGGGUCUCAAAGGGGUAUUUGUACAUCCAUGUUCAUGGCGUGCUUUUCAUCACAGCCCGAUGGUGGAAGCAGCCCAGGCGGCCAUGACAGAUGAAUGGCUAAAUGGAGUGUGGUCCAUCCAUACCACGGAAUAUCAUUCAGCCUUACGAAGGAAGGAAAUCCUGACACCUGCUACAACAUGAACGGAUUUUGAAGACAUGAUGCUCAGUGAAAUAAGCCAGUCACAAAAAGCAAGUGGCAUUGUAUAAUUCCACUUAAAGGAGGUCCCAAAAGUCCUCAAAUUCAUAGAGACAGAAAGUAGAAUGGGAGGCGGGGAUGAAGUUAACAUUUAAUGGGGACAGAGUUUCAGUUGUGGAAAAAGAAGACAUUGUGGACCUGGACGGUGGAGGUGGUUGCACAACAAGGUGAACUGAUUAACGCCACAGAACUCUUAAAAGUGGUAUUUUUGGGGGACCGAUCCUUCGCAAGGAUGGCUGUGAUCUUGGUGAUGAAAAAGUCCUGUGCCCUUUUGAGAAGCUUUGCAUCCUCUCCGGGAGCCUCUGGCCCAGAGGUGAGGGAAGGAUUGCUAAUCCCAGUUUACAGAGGUAUUGCAUGGUGUUUAAGAAGUGAGGGAGACAAGGAGGAAGAUGCCCCAUGUCUUUGCUCAUGUCAAGCCCACACUGUGAUCUCUCUGACCACCCUCCCUUAGCUUGGCUGCCUCUUGCUCAUCAUUCAAGCUAUAACAUACAGGUCGCGUCUACUAAAAGGCUCCUUGACUGCCCAGACUGGCCCCCUUCUCUGUGCCUCCAGCCCCCUGGGUGGCCCCUGGCAGAGCCUCCAUCACUCUGGAUGGCCUUUGCUUACCGUGUGCACUGAGGAACUUCUAGCUGCACUUUAAAACGGGGUUCCAGCGUGUCUCUCUCCGGGAAGGCUUCUCCCACCCAUAUUCCCGAGGCUGGCCUCAGGACCUGCCCGGGUUCCGCAGCCACCUAUCCUCCCCCGUGUGGCACUUAGCAGCCUGCUUGGUAAUCACAGUGGCACAUGUCCCUUCCCUUGGUGGCUGCAGAGCCUGGGGAGGCCAGGGCUGCAGGUUAUUUACUGUGUAUCUGCAAAGCCCAGUACAAGGGGGUGUGUGAAUGAAGGAGGACUGGUGGGCCGUGGAGUCAGGCAGGGACUUCUGGGCCUGCCCGGGAGGCCUGGGGGCCUGGAGCUCCC
Long non-coding RNA from Mirounga angustirostris (Northern elephant seal), 5883 nucleotides. RefSeq lists it as uncharacterized. The transcript is spliced from 5 exons. The record is from RefSeq and is a predicted model, not a curated record. Lineage: Eukaryota; Metazoa; Chordata; Mammalia; Carnivora; Phocidae.